UACGUAGGUGGCAAGCGUUGUUCGGAAUUAUUGGGCGUAAAGCGCGCGCAGGCGGUUUCUUAAGUCUGAUGUGAAAGCCCCCGGCUCAACCGGGGAGGGUCAUUGGAAACUGGGGGACUUGAGUGCAGAAGAGGAGAGCGGAAUUCCACGUGUAGCGGUGAAAUGCGUAGAGAUGUGGAGGAACACCAGUGGCGAAGGCGGCUCUCUGGUCUGUAACUGACGCUGAGGCGCGAAAGCGUGGGGAGCAAACAGG
Molecule: ribosomal RNA, 253 nt
Filed under: uncultured bacterium
Lineage: Bacteria
Description: partial 16S ribosomal RNA
Rfam family: Bacterial small subunit ribosomal RNA
Source: RNAcentral